UUAUCUAUAUUAUUAUAUUAUAAAAAAAAAAAAAAAAAAAAAAAAAAAAAAAAAAAAAAAAAAAAAAAAAAAACUCUGUAAAUCAAUAAAAAACAUAAAUGUAUAAUCAAAAAAGAUCAAUACACUCAUAAAAAAAAAACAAAAAAAAAAAAAAAAAAAAAAAAAAAAAAAAAAAAAAAAAAAAAAAAAAAAAAAAAAAAAACCAUUAAAAAAAAAAAAAAAAAAAAAAAAAAAAAAAAAAAAAAAAAAAAAAAAAAAAAAAAAA
Molecule: unclassified non-coding RNA, 265 nt
Filed under: Melitaea cinxia (Glanville fritillary)
Lineage: Eukaryota; Metazoa; Arthropoda; Insecta; Lepidoptera; Nymphalidae
Description: misc RNA ENSMCXG00005020151.1
Source: RNAcentral